GUGAACGCUGGCGGUAGGCCUAACACAUGCAAGUCGAACGGCAGCACAGUAAGAGCUUGCUCUUACGGGUGGCGAGUGGCGGACGGGUGAGGAAUACAUCGGAAUCUACUUUUUCGUGGGGGAUAACGUGGGGAAACUUACGCUAAUACCGCAUACGACCUACGGGUGAAAGCAGGGGAUCUUCGGACCUUGCGCGAUUGAAUGAGCCGAUGUCGGAUUAGCUAGUUGGCGGGGUAAAGGCCCACCAAGGCGACGAUCCGUAGCUGGUCUGAGAGGAUGAUCAGCCACACUGGAACUGAGACACGGUCCAGACUCCUACGGGAGGCAGCAGUGGGGAAUAUUGGACAAUGGGCGCAAGCCUGAUCCAGCCAUACCGCGUGGGUGAAGAAGGCCUUCGGGUUGUAAAGCCCUUUUGUUGGGAAAGAAAAGCAGCAGGUUAAUACCCCGCUGUUCUGACGGUACCCAAAGAAUAAGCACCGGCUAACUUCGUG
Molecule: ribosomal RNA, 491 nt
Filed under: uncultured bacterium
Lineage: Bacteria
Description: partial 16S ribosomal RNA
Rfam family: Bacterial small subunit ribosomal RNA
Source: RNAcentral